ACUGCUCAGUAACACGUGGAUAACCUGCCCUUGGGUCCGGCAUAACUCCGGGAAACUGGAGAUAAUUCCGGAUAACGCAUAUAUGCUGGAAUGCUAUAUGCGUAAAAUGGAUUCGUCUGCCCAAGGAUGGGUCUGCGGCCUAUCAGGUAGUAGUGGGUGUAAUGUACCUACUAGCCUGCGACGGGUACGGGUUGUGAGAGCAAGAGCCCGGAGAUGGAUUCUGAGACAUGAAUCCAGGCCCUACGGGGCGCAGCAGGCGCGAAAACUUUACAAUGCGGGAAACCGUGAUAAGGGGACACCGAGUGCCAGCAUCAUAUGCUGGCUGUCCAGGUGUGUAAAAUACACCUGUUAGCAAGGGCCGGGCAAGACCGGUGCCAGCCGCCGCGGUAACACCGGCGGCCCGAGUGGUGAUCGUGAUUAUUGGGUCUAAAGGGUCCGUAGCCGGUUUGGUCAGUCCUCCGGGAAAUCUGAUAGCUCAACUAUUAGGCUUUCGGAGGAUACUGCCAGACUUGGAACCGGGAGAGGUAAGAGGUACUACAGGGGUAGGAGUGAAAUCUUGUAAUCCCUGUGGGACCACCUGUGGCGAAGGCGUCUUACCAGAACGGGUUCGACGGUGAGGGACGAAAGCUGGGGGCACGAACCGGAUUAGAUACCCGGGUAGUCCCAGCCGUAAACGAUGCUCGCUAGGUGUCAGGCAUGGCGCGACCGUGUCUGGUGCCGCAGGGAAGCCGUGAAGCGAGCCACCUGGGAAGUACGGCCGCAAGGCUGAAACUUAAAGGAAUUGGCGGGGGAGCAC
This 796-nucleotide ribosomal RNA is filed under the name uncultured Methanosarcina sp. Its description in RNAcentral is "SSU rRNA". It matches the Rfam family "Archaeal small subunit ribosomal RNA", at positions 85 to 879 of the family's 1478-position model. The record is from RNAcentral. Lineage: Archaea; Methanobacteriati; Methanobacteriota; Methanomicrobia; Methanosarcinales; Methanosarcinaceae.